ACGGAAGGCAGCAGUGGGGAAUAUUGGGCAAUGGGGGCAACCCUGACCCAGCAACGCCGCGUGAAGGAAGAAGGCUUUCGGGUUGUAAACUUCUUUUACCAGGGACGAAGAAAGUGACGGUACCUGGAGAAAAAGCCACGGCUAACUACGUGCCAGCAGCCGCGGUAAUACGUAUGGUGCAAGCGUUAUCCGGAUUUACUGGGUGUAAAGGGAGCGCAGACGGCAUGGCAAGCCAGAUGUGAAAUGCGGGGGCUCAACUCCUGAACUGCAUUUGGAACUGUCAAGCUAGAGUAUCGGAGAGGUAAGUGGAAUUCCUAGUGUAGCGGUGAAAUGCGUAGAUAUUAGGAGGAACACCAGUGGCGAAGGCGGCUUACUGGACGAUAACUGACGUUGAGGCUCGAAAGCGUGGGGAGCAAACAGGAUUAGAUACCCUGGUA
This 437-nucleotide ribosomal RNA is filed under the name uncultured Lachnospiraceae bacterium. RNAcentral's name for it is "partial 16S ribosomal RNA". It matches the Rfam family "Bacterial small subunit ribosomal RNA", at positions 341 to 792 of the family's 1533-position model. Lineage: Bacteria; Bacillati; Bacillota; Clostridia; Lachnospirales; Lachnospiraceae. The record is from RNAcentral.